Molecule: ribosomal RNA, 465 nt
Filed under: uncultured bacterium
Lineage: Bacteria
Description: partial 16S ribosomal RNA
Rfam family: Bacterial small subunit ribosomal RNA
Source: RNAcentral
CCUACGGGGGGCAGCAGUAGGGAAUCUUCCACAAUGGGCGAAAGCCUGAUGGAGCAACGCCGCGUGGGUGAAGAAGGUCUUCGGAUCGUAAAACCCUGUUGUUAGAGAAGAAAGUGCGUGAGAGUAACUGUUCACGUUUCGACGGUAUCUAACCAGAAAGCCACGGCUAACUACGGGCCAGCAGCCGCGGUAAUACGUAGGUGGCAAGCGUUAUCCGGAUUUAUUUGGCGUAAAGGGAACGCAGGUGGUCUUUUAAGUCUGAUGUGAAAGCCUUCGGCUUAACCGGCGUAGUGCAUUGGAAACUGGGAGACUUGAGUGCAGAAGAGGAGAGUGGAACUCCAUGUGUAGCGGUGAAAUGCGUAGAUAUAUGGAAGAACACCAGUGGCGAAGGCGGCUCUCUGGUCUGUAACUGACGCUGAGGUUCGAAAGCGUGGGUAGCAAACAGGAUUAGAUACCCUUGUAGUC